CUGUUGUACUGUCCAAAGAAAUCUGUAAAUUUUGUGAUUAUUGUAAUCACAAAAUUUACAGAUUUCUUUGGACAUUACAACAG
RNAcentral lists this small RNA (83 nucleotides) under Mytilus galloprovincialis (Mediterranean mussel). The record is from RNAcentral. Lineage: Eukaryota; Metazoa; Mollusca; Bivalvia; Mytilida; Mytilidae.